Molecule: small nucleolar RNA, 205 nt
Organism: Xenopus laevis (African clawed frog)
Lineage: Eukaryota; Metazoa; Chordata; Amphibia; Anura; Pipidae
Product: small nucleolar RNA SNORA74
Exons: 1
Source: RefSeq, a predicted model, not a curated record
CCCAGCGGUAGUCAGCUGUUCAGUGCUUACCAAUGCCUGUGAUAGUGUUACGCUGCUGGCAGAUGAAGAUAUAGCCAUUAUAUUCUAGAUGCACAUUGGUACCGUUCUGGUUUUAUGUGACUCAAGUUUCAGGCUAUAUCUUGCUCCCUUGAGAGUGCGCCUUGACCUACUUUGGUCAUUUGGUGCUAGUCUGGAAGCAAACAAA